Molecule: long non-coding RNA, 3081 nt
Organism: Microtus ochrogaster (prairie vole)
Lineage: Eukaryota; Metazoa; Chordata; Mammalia; Rodentia; Cricetidae
Exons: 4
Source: RefSeq, a predicted model, not a curated record
UGCGGUAGGCGUCCGUGGGGUCCCAGUAGGUUGGCUGGCGUCAGAGGAAUGGGAGGAGAAGAGAUGGGUAUGUGAGUUCCCUGAAUGCAGAGAGCAGUUGUUCCCAUGCUUUGAGCAUUGAGAGAUUACGCGGCCACAACCAUGCCUUUGAUACUCAUAAUUCAAGGGGAGCAGACACAAGCCAGUGGUUGCAGUGUCAUCGCUCGAGUCUUCUGUAAACGAUUUAUCAGCAAGUUGAGCUGAACAUGGACAUGAGGCUCCUUCAAAAGACGUCAUUGAUAAAACCGAUCUUUACACCACGGCAUGUGUAUAUGGAUGGGGCUUUCCACGGGGAAUGUGGGCACGGACACUGAGGAGGUAUCAGCUUUCAGAGCCUCAGGUUUGUACUUAGUCUUUCUCAGAGCUGCUUUGCCCGGGAAUGAGGCAGCAUCCGAGGUUCUCUUUUCUCAACAGCGCUUCUCUUCUUUAUUAUAAAAGCAAAGAUAUCUUUCCUGUUCAUUCUGAUUAUUCCAUUGUGCAGUAGGCUUUCAUCGCUUGGGAAUUUGAUAAGACCUCCAGGAGACUAGACGAAAGGACAAUCUCCAGUCUCGGUACCGAUGCUGAGAGUGAGUGACAUUAAUGAAUGGGUAAGAACAUUUUUUUUUUCAAGGUAAGUGCUUUCCAGCUCUCUGCUUCCAACAAAAUUGCAAGAGGAUCUAAUCAAGUUGUCAGCUGAUACGUUAUUUAAGAUAAAUGUUCAUGGUAGGUCAUUAUAUAAUUUUGGCAUACAUUUCAGAAAGAGCAGGCAGAAUGGAAUGACAUUAUUAUAAAUUGCUUCCCUUCCCAUCUACUUAUACAAAUGUAUGAUCACUCUGUGCUUGCAUGGACAAGAUUUAAAAAAAAUACAGACUCUCAUUCCUGUUACAUUCUAGAAGGUGAUAUUUUCAAACUUGGGUUUGAGGUUUUUUUUUAAAAACAGAUCAAGUCCCACUCGUUCAUUAAAAGAUGCAUUUUGGGGCUGGAGAGAUGGCCCGGUCAGCAAAGCGCCUGCCACAGGAGCACGGGGACUGGAGCUCAUUCAGGUCAGGUAAGAACCGGAAGCAGUUACGCGUCUCUAUAACCCAGCACUGGGAGGUAAGAACCGGAAGCAGUUACGCGUCUCUAUAACCCAGCACUGGGAGGUGGUAAAGGGACAGAGACAGGCGGAUCUCUGGCGCUCAGUCAUCAGCCAGCCUGACCCAGUCGAUGAGCUCCAGCUUCGCUGACAGUCUUUGUCUCAAAACAUAAGGGGGAAAGCAAUCAAUGAAGGAACCUGACACCAACAUCUGGCCUUACACACUCAUGCCUAUGUGUGCCCUUGCUCAUAUAAACACCCACCCACCCCCACAUAUUUCCAUUUUAUUUUUAAAUUAUUUGCCAAAAUUUGUAAUGUCAACUAUUAGUGAGACCUUAUUUUCCUGCAGUCGGAACGUCUGGUUAGCUGAGCAUUCAGACAUGCAGGACUAAGAAAACAACUCACACCUCUUAGAAAAGACUGAAUGGUUAUCCUCCACUACAGUGAGGGGUAAGCCGAGCCAGGGUGGAUUGUGGUGAGGGGGACUGAGCUUAAGUUUCCAAGUCUUGGAGGCAGUUUUGGCCUUGGAAACCACUGAAGGGAAAAAUGGACUUAGACACAGGUGAGGUGCACGGCAGCCUGGAGGUGCUGCUGAUCCCUCAAAGACUUGGUAUGUCAAAGCAUGUUUUAUGUUAGAAAUGUCAUUUGUUGAUCAUCUAUGAUACUGUCUUCAAAAGAUAUGCACAUAGGAUUUGGGACCUAAUUUUCUUAUAAUCACAAGUCUCUAAAUAGUAAGCUCAUUCUUCUACUGAAUCAAGUUACCAACAUAAUUUUUAGUUGAAUUCUUGCUGUGAGCUCUGAUUCGUGGGAAAAGGGAGACAAUGAAGAAGAGGGGCCCAUCAUCUGAAAAUGAACCCCAGAGGAUGAGCACCGAGCCCUGCUCCAGGGGCCACAUCUCAGACAACAGCAGCAGCAAGUCAAGGUUAGCCUGGAGUCACCCCACCUGGGCCCCUGGCUUCCAGGGCAAUGGAGGAUGACCAGGAAGUCCUCACUCUCAGGGGGAUCCUGGGACUCUUUGCCAGCCCUGCUGGUAUCACCGUGUGCCUGGACUAUAGUGCUGGGUCUCAUCCAUUGCUUCGGCACUGGCUGUGCCUGGGGCUGGCAAAGUGUGGAUGCCACAGAACAGGACACCACCAGGUGCUAGACACAAGACACGAGACAAAAGGCACGAGACAUGCUCUUGAGAUGACCCAGACAAUCAAGUGAUUAUCAUGCCAUCUGAGGCUGGGGCCUGACUUCUCAGAGAUGCUUCCUUCACUCUCUCCUGGUACUCCAGGUCUCUUCUCCCCUUAAGACUUAAGUCCCAUAGACUAAAAUCACAGUUUCUCCUUGAGGCUCCAAUAUCACACCUUAGUGUUGCUCUGUAGGCAGACUUUUUCUUUGAAGCCAUCUUUUCUCCAGUCUUCUGACUGUGGGCCCCAUGGCUCUUGGCGCUGGGUAUCUGCCUGACAUAGGCACUUAGAUGUGUAGGCAGCCAUCUUGAAGGCUCAAUCACAGGCCGGUCUCAGCUCUUCUGGACCCUGACGCAGUCCCCAUCUCCUAGUGUUUCACUCUCAAAGUGACAGCACACACCUUCGCUAGCAGACUUCUAUGCUCCUUUGACCCCUUUCAGUAUCUCCUGGUUAAAUCUCACCCAGGGUCUUUCUGUUGAGAGCUUCCUUCUUCCUUCCUCCUUCUCUGCCUCUCCUCAGCCACCUACCUCCCCUACCCAGCCAGUGCCUGCCUCAUCCUUCAUGAAGACCAGCUGUAAUGCUUUCAGCCACAUAAGACUGAUACUUCCGGGUUCUAGGAGUCAUGCAGGUACAGACAAGCCCUCAGGCAGAAGUAUCUAAUGGCCCAUGCAUGACCCACGUGCACACAUGAAUGGUUACAUCCACAUAUGACUCAGCUAAGCCCUUGCGUGCAUGCAUGAGCCCCGUCAUCUGCGUAUGACAUAGCCAUGUCAACCCCCUGUGCACAUGCGCCAGGCAGGUUUUAAAAGCUGAACA